This 439-nucleotide ribosomal RNA is filed under the name uncultured bacterium. RNAcentral describes it as "partial 16S ribosomal RNA". It matches the Rfam family "Bacterial small subunit ribosomal RNA", at positions 339 to 795 of the family's 1533-position model. The record is from RNAcentral.
CUACGGGCGGCUCCAGUGAGGAAUAUUGCACAAUGGGGGGAACCCUGAUGCAGCAACGCCGCGUGGAGGAUGACGCAUUUCGGUGUGUAAACUCCUUUUAUAUGUCAAGAAAAUGACGGUAGCAUAUGAAUAAGCGCCGGCUAACUCCGUGCCAGCAGCCGCGGUAAUACGGAGGGCGCAAGCGUUACUCGGAAUCACUGGGCGUAAAGGACGCGUAGGCGGGUUGAAAAGUCAGGUGUGAAAUCCUACAGCUUAACUGUAGAACUGCACUUGAAACUUCUAAUCUAGAGUAUGGGAGGGGGAGAUGGAAUUAGUGGUGUAGGGGUAAAAUCCGUAGAUAUCACUAGGAAUACCUAAAGCGAAGGCGAUCUCCUGGAACAUUACUGACGCUAAGGCGUGAAAGCGUGGGGAGCAAACAGGAUUAGAUACCCCCGUAGUC